UGCAGUCGAGCGGAACGACACUAACAAUCCUUCGGGUGCGUUAUUGGGCGUCGAGCGGCGGACGGGUGAGUAAUGCUUGGGAAUAUGCCUUUACGUGGGGGACAACAGUUGGAAACGACUGCUAAUACCGCAUAAUGUCUUCGGACCAAAGGAGGGGAUGCUUCGGCACCUUUCGCGUAAAGAUUAGCCCAAGUGGGAUUAGCUAGUUGGUGGGGUAAUGGCCUACCAAGGCGACGAUCUCUAGCUGGUUUGAGAGGAUGAUCAGCCACACUGGGACUGAGACACGGCCCAGACUCCUACGGGAGGCAGCAGUGGGGAAUAUUGCACAAUGGGGGGAACCCUGAUGCAGCCAUGCCGCGUGUGUGAAGAAGGCCUUCGGGUUGUAAAGCACUUUCAGUUGUGAGGAAGAUUCAGUAGUUAAUACCUGCUGGAUUUGACGUUAGCAACAGAAGAAGCACCGGCUAACUCCGUGCCAGCAGCCGCGGUAAUACGGAGGGUGCGAGCGUUAAUCGGAAUUACUGGGCGUAAAGCGUACGCAGGCGGCUUGUUAAGCGAGAUGUGAAAGCCCCGGGCUUAACCUGGGAACGGCAUUUCGAACUGGCAAGCUAGAGUGUGUGAGAGGGUGGUAGAAUUUCAGGUGUAGCGGUGAAAUGCGUAGAGAUCUGAAGGAAUACCAGUGGCGAAGGCGG
This 689-nucleotide ribosomal RNA is filed under the name Alteromonadaceae bacterium GUDS1232. RNAcentral's name for it is "bacterial SSU rRNA". It matches the Rfam family "Bacterial small subunit ribosomal RNA", at positions 56 to 724 of the family's 1533-position model. Lineage: Bacteria; Pseudomonadati; Pseudomonadota; Gammaproteobacteria; Alteromonadales; Alteromonadaceae. The record is from RNAcentral.